AGUACACGUGAGUGACCUGCCUUUUAGACUGGAACAACUUACCGAAAGGUGAGCUAAUGCCGGAUGAGUUAUAUAAGUGCAUGUUUAUAUAGGAAAAGUUGGGGAGACCUGACGCUGAAAGAUGGACUCGCGUCCCAUUAGCUAGUUGGUAGGGUAAUGGCCUACCAAGGCGACGAUGGGUAGCCGGCCUGAGAGGGUGGCCGGCCACACUGGGACUGAGACACGGCCCAGGCUCCUACGGAAGGCAGCAG
RNAcentral lists this ribosomal RNA (251 nucleotides) under uncultured bacterium. RNAcentral's name for it is "partial 16S ribosomal RNA". It matches the Rfam family "Bacterial small subunit ribosomal RNA", at positions 109 to 354 of the family's 1533-position model. The record is from RNAcentral.